AGUGAACGCUGGCGGUAUGCCUAACACAUGCAAGUCGAACGGCAGCACAGUAAGAGCUUGCUCUUACGGGUGGCGAGUGGCGGACGGGUGAGGAAUACAUCGGCAUCUACUUUUUCGUGGGGGAUAACGUAGGGAAACUUACGCUAAUACCGCAUACGACCUACGGGUGAAAGCAGGAGAUCUUCGCACCUUGCGCGAUUGAUUGAGCCGAUGUCGGAUUAGCUAGUUGGCGGGGUAAAGGCCCACCAAGCCGACGAUCCGUAGCUGGUCUGAGAGGAUGAUCAGCCACACUGGAACUGAGACACGGUCCAGACUCCUACGGGAGGCAGCAGUGGGGAAUAUUGGACAAUGGGCGCAAGCCUGAUCCAGCCAUACCGCGUGGGUGAAGAAGGCCUUCGGGUUGUAAAGCCCUUUUGUUGGGAAAGAAAAGCAGCAGGUUAAUACCCCGCUGUUCUGACGGUACCCAAAGAAUAAGCACCGGCUAACUUCGUG
This 492-nucleotide ribosomal RNA is filed under the name uncultured bacterium. RNAcentral describes it as "partial 16S ribosomal RNA". It matches the Rfam family "Bacterial small subunit ribosomal RNA", at positions 29 to 507 of the family's 1533-position model. The record is from RNAcentral.